UGGAUCUUGCAGUAAGCUGAGAUCGCGCCACUGCACUCCAGCGUGGGCAACACAGUGAGACUCUGUCUCAAAAAGAAAAAAAAAAAAGAAAAUUGUCAAAACACAACCAAUAGAUAAUGUUAACAUGCCAGAGGGCGGAGGUUGCAGUGAGCCGAGAUCGCGCCAUUUCACUCCAGCCUGGGUGAAAGUUUACAAAUACGGGCUAACUGUAAUGUGUUACUUGUGUUGUGAGUUGACCUGCGGAACAAUGAUGAGACCAUGUGGCAAGGCCUGUGUGUGUGUAGGCUGACUACUACUGGAUAUGUAAUUCAGAAGCCAGUCUAAAGUACCAUUUUGCCUUUCCUAUUAGCAAUGUAUGAAAGUUCCAGUAACAAAUCCACACCUGUACUCCUGAAUCUAAAACAAAAGUUAAAAAAGAAAGCUACUAAAAAUACGAAAAUUAGCUGUGCGUGUGGCGUGUGCCUGUAAUCUCAGCUACCCGGGAGGCUGAGGCAGGAGAAUCACUGGAGGUUUUUGCCACGUUGGCCAGGCUGGUCUUGAAUUCUGACCUCAGGUGAUCCACCCACCUCAGCCUCCCAAAGUGCUGAGAUUACAGGUGUGAGCCACCAUGCCCAGCCACUCUUACUAUGUACAAUAGAAUCAGAAAUAUUAAAAGCUUAGAGAGAAACUUAAUGAGCAAUAUGUAAGAUGAAAAAAAAAAAAAGGAGAGUAAUAUUUCAUGACAUGUGAAAAUUAUAUGCAAUUUAAAUUUGUGUCCAUAAAUAAAGUUUUGGAUUUUGGCAAUUAAAAAUUUGUGGAGGUGGCCAGGCGCGGUGGCUCACACCUGUAAUCCCAGCACUUUGGGAGGUCAAGGUGGGUGGAUCACAAGGUCGGGAGUUCGACACCAGCCUGACCAACAUGGCAAAACACCAUCUCUACUAAAAAUACAAAAAUUAGCUGGGCAUGGUGGCAUAUGCCUGUAAUCCCAGCUACUCGGGAGCCUGAGGCAGGAGAAUUGCUUGAACCUGGGAGGCGGAGGUUGCAGUGAGCCGAGAUCGCGCCACUGCACUCUAGCCUGGGAGACAGUGAGAAUCCAUCUUAAAAAAAAAAAAAAAUUGUAGCGUUCAGGUGCAGUGGCUCACGCCUGUAAUCCCAGCACUUUGGGAGACUGAGGAGGGAGGACUGCUUGAAGCCAGGAGUUCCAGACCUUAUCUCUAAAAAAAGGAAAAACAAAGGGGAAAUUUUUCAUCUCUCUUUUAUAUAAACUCCUAUAUAAUUAACUGGUCAUUCAGUAAAGAAAGGCAAUGAUAAAACCACAUUUGUUAAGCCUCCACUGUGGCCCAAACAGUAUUUAUUCAGUGUGAAAGGGCCACUUGCAUUCUCUCACAACUCACUCACUGAUGCACCCAGAAAUUCAGUCCCACAAGCUCCAUUCAUGGCAAGUAUCUUAUACCGGUGUGCCAUUUUUUAAUAUUUUAUACAGUAUUUUUACUGUACCUUUGCUAUGUUUAGAUACACAAACACCACUGUGUUAUAAAUGCCUACAGAGUUCGAGACCAGCCUGGUCAAAUGGCGAAACCAUCUGUACUAAAAACACAAAAAUCAGCCAAGUGUGGUGGCAUAAUCCCAGCUACCAGGGAGGCUGAGGCAGCAGAAAUGCUUGAACCCGGGAGACAGAAGUUGCAGUAAGCCAAGAUCGCACCACUGUACUCCAGCGUGGGCAACAGAGCAACACUUCAUCUCAAAAAAAAAAAAAUUCUCCCCCAGUGGAGUGCAGUGGCUCAUGCCUAUAAUCCUAGCACUUUUGGAGGCUGAGGCGGGGGGAUCACAAGGUCAGGAGAUCGAGACCAUCCUGGCUAACACGGUGAAACCCCAUCUCUACUAAAAAUACAAAAAAUUAGCC
This 1882-nucleotide long non-coding RNA is filed under the name Homo sapiens (human). RNAcentral's name for it is "non-protein coding lnc-ZNF529-3:2". The record is from RNAcentral. Lineage: Eukaryota; Metazoa; Chordata; Mammalia; Primates; Hominidae.